Molecule: ribosomal RNA, 2905 nt
Filed under: Escherichia coli
Lineage: Bacteria; Pseudomonadati; Pseudomonadota; Gammaproteobacteria; Enterobacterales; Enterobacteriaceae
Description: bacterial LSU rRNA
Rfam family: Bacterial large subunit ribosomal RNA
Source: RNAcentral
UUAAGCGACUAAGCGUACACGGUGGAUGCCCUGGCAGUCAGAGGCGAUGAAGGACGUGCUAAUCUGCGAUAAGCGUCGGUAAGGUGAUAUGAACCGUUAUAACCGGCGAUUUCCGAAUGGGGAAACCCAGUGUGUUUCGACACACUAUCAUUAACUGAAUCCAUAGGUUAAUGAGGCGAACCGGGGGAACUGAAACAUCUAAGUACCCCGAGGAAAAGAAAUCAACCGAGAUUCCCCCAGUAGCGGCGAGCGAACGGGGAGCAGCCCAGAGCCUGAAUCAGUGUGUGUGUUAGUGGAAGCGUCUGGAAAGGCGCGCGAUACAGGGUGACAGCCCCGUACACAAAAAUGCACAUGCUGUGAGCUCGAUGAGUAGGGCGGGACACGUGGUAUCCUGUCUGAAUAUGGGGGGACCAUCCUCCAAGGCUAAAUACUCCUGACUGACCGAUAGUGAACCAGUACCGUGAGGGAAAGGCGAAAAGAACCCCGGCGAGGGGAGUGAAAAAGAACCUGAAACCGUGUACGUACAAGCAGUGGGAGCCUCUCUUUAUGGGGGGUGACUGCGUACCUUUUGUAUAAUGGGUCAGCGACUUAUAUUCUGUAGCAAGGUUAACCGAAUAGGGGAGCCGAAGGGAAACCGAGUCUUAACUGGGCGUUAAGUUGCAGGGUAUAGACCCGAAACCCGGUGAUCUAGCCAUGGGCAGGUUGAAGGUUGGGUAACACUAACUGGAGGACCGAACCGACUAAUGUUGAAAAAUUAGCGGAUGACUUGUGGCUGGGGGUGAAAGGCCAAUCAAACCGGGAGAUAGCUGGUUCUCCCCGAAAGCUAUUUAGGUAGCGCCUCGUGAAUUCAUCUCCGGGGGUAGAGCACUGUUUCGGCAAGGGGGUCAUCCCGACUUACCAACCCGAUGCAAACUGCGAAUACCGGAGAAUGUUAUCACGGGAGACACACGGCGGGUGCUAACGUCCGUCGUGAAGAGGGAAACAACCCAGACCGCCAGCUAAGGUCCCAAAGUCAUGGUUAAGUGGGAAACGAUGUGGGAAGGCCCAGACAGCCAGGAUGUUGGCUUAGAAGCAGCCAUCAUUUAAAGAAAGCGUAAUAGCUCACUGGUCGAGUCGGCCUGCGCGGAAGAUGUAACGGGGCUAAACCAUGCACCGAAGCUGCGGCAGCGACGCUGAUGCGUUGUUGGGUAGGGGAGCGUUCUGUAAGCCUGCGAAGGUGUACUGUGAGGUAUGCUGGAGGUAUCAGAAGUGCGAAUGCUGACAUAAGUAACGAUAAAGCGGGUGAAAAGCCCGCUCGCCGGAAGACCAAGGGUUCCUGUCCAACGUUAAUCGGGGCAGGGUGAGUCGACCCCUAAGGCGAGGCCGAAAGGCGUAGUCGAUGGGAAACAGGUUAAUAUUCCUGUACUUGGUGUUACUGCGAAGGGGGGACGGAGAAGGCUAUGUUGGCCGGGCGACGGUUGUCCCGGUUUAAGCGUGUAGGCUGGUUUUCCAGGCAAAUCCGGAAAAUCAAGGCUGAGGCGUGAUGACGAGGCACUACGGUGCUGAAGCAACAAAUGCCCUGCUUCCAGGAAAAGCCUCUAAGCAUCAGGUAACAUCAAAUCGUACCCCAAACCGACACAGGUGGUCAGGUAGAGAAUACCAAGGCGCUUGAGAGAACUCGGGUGAAGGAACUAGGCAAAAUGGUGCCGUAACUUCGGGAGAAGGCACGCUGAUAUGUAGGUGAAGUCCCUCGCGGAUGGAGCUGAAAUCAGUCGAAGAUACCAGCUGGCUGCAACUGUUUAUUAAAAACACAGCACUGUGCAAACACGAAAGUGGACGUAUACGGUGUGACGCCUGCCCGGUGCCGGAAGGUUAAUUGAUGGGGUUAGCGCAAGCGAAGCUCUUGAUCGAAGCCCCGGUAAACGGCGGCCGUAACUAUAACGGUCCUAAGGUAGCGAAAUUCCUUGUCGGGUAAGUUCCGACCUGCACGAAUGGCGUAAUGAUGGCCAGGCUGUCUCCACCCGAGACUCAGUGAAAUUGAACUCGCUGUGAAGAUGCAGUGUACCCGCGGCAAGACGGAAAGACCCCGUGAACCUUUACUAUAGCUUGACACUGAACAUUGAGCCUUGAUGUGUAGGAUAGGUGGGAGGCUUUGAAGUGUGGACGCCAGUCUGCAUGGAGCCGACCUUGAAAUACCACCCUUUAAUGUUUGAUGUUCUAACGUGGACCCGUAAUCCGGGUUGCGGACAGUGUCUGGUGGGUAGUUUGACUGGGGCGGUCUCCUCCUAAAGAGUAACGGAGGAGCACGAAGGUUGGCUAAUCCUGGUCGGACAUCAGGAGGUUAGUGCAAUGGCAUAAGCCAGCUUGACUGCGAGCGUGACGGCGCGAGCAGGUGCGAAAGCAGGUCAUAGUGAUCCGGUGGUUCUGAAUGGAAGGGCCAUCGCUCAACGGAUAAAAGGUACUCCGGGGAUAACAGGCUGAUACCGCCCAAGAGUUCAUAUCGACGGCGGUGUUUGGCACCUCGAUGUCGGCUCAUCACAUCCUGGGGCUGAAGUAGGUCCCAAGGGUAUGGCUGUUCGCCAUUUAAAGUGGUACGCGAGCUGGGUUUAGAACGUCGUGAGACAGUUCGGUCCCUAUCUGCCGUGGGCGCUGGAGAACUGAGGGGGGCUGCUCCUAGUACGAGAGGACCGGAGUGGACGCAUCACUGGUGUUCGGGUUGUCAUGCCAAUGGCACUGCCCGGUAGCUAAAUGCGGAAGAGAUAAGUGCUGAAAGCAUCUAAGCACGAAACUUGCCCCGAGAUGAGUUCUCCCUGACCCUUUAAGGGUCCUGAAGGAACGUUGAAGACGACGACGUUGAUAGGCCGGGUGUGUAAGCGCAGCGAUGCGUUGAGCUAACCGGUACUAAUGAACCGUGAGGCUUAACCUU